Meleagris gallopavo (turkey) is the source of this 399-nucleotide non-coding RNA. The record is from RefSeq and is a predicted model, not a curated record. NCBI's taxonomy places the organism in Eukaryota, Metazoa, Chordata, Aves, Galliformes, Phasianidae.
GUGCAUCAACCCGCCGCUCUUCGAGGUGUAUCAGACGCUGCUCAGCCCCGCGCGGCGCCACGUGGCGCUGAUCGGCACCAAAGGGCUCUCGGCCGUGGAGCUGCCCAAACGCUGGGGCAAAAACUCCGAGUUCGAGGGCGGGAAGGCCGCGGUGAACUGCAGCACCAUCCCGGUCGCAGAACGGUUCUUCACCAGUUCCCCGUCCCUCACCCUGAAGCACGCGGCCUGGUACCCCUGCGAGACCCUGGAGCCCCACAUCGUGCUGCUGACUUCGGAUAACACCAUCAGGAUCUACAGCCUGAAGGUGCCCCAGACGCCCAUCAAGGUGAUCGCGCUCUCAGAUGCUGAGGAGGAGACUCUGAUCAUCAACAAAGGGUUUGUGAGGCUCCUUUUGAAAUG